CAGUAACGUCCUGAGCCCUCACAUUCACUCACUCAGUCACCCAGAGCAACUUCCAGCCCUGCGAGCUUUAUUCAUGGUGCCGUGGCUCAUGCCUGUAAUCCCAGCAUUUUGGGAGGCCGAGGUGGGCAGAUCACCUGAGAUCGGGAGUUCGAGACCAGCCUGACCAACAUGGAGAAACCCCGUUUCUACUAAAAAUACAAAAUUAGCUGGGCAUGGUAGCGCACGCCUGUAAUGCCAGCUACUCGGGAGGCUGAGGCAGGAGAAUCACUUGAACCCAGGAGGUGGAGGUUGUGGUGAGCCAAGAUUGUGCCAUUGCAGCCUGGACAACAAGAGUGAAACUCCGUCUUAAAUAAAUGUACUUCAAUUAAAAUCAUACAAAAUGUAACUGUACUGUUUUGCUAAAUUACAUUACAGAGAGUUUGCAUGAGUUUACACCUAUUUUUCAAGUAUCAUUAUUUAAAAGAAAUCUUUGUCAACAAAGGAAAAUGUAAAAUCAUGUAUUAUUUUAAUUUUCAUCUUUUAUUGAAUUAAAAAUUAAUUUAUUG
Molecule: long non-coding RNA, 545 nt
Filed under: Homo sapiens (human)
Lineage: Eukaryota; Metazoa; Chordata; Mammalia; Primates; Hominidae
Description: HSALNT0354411
Source: RNAcentral